Molecule: long non-coding RNA, 451 nt
Organism: Anas platyrhynchos (mallard)
Lineage: Eukaryota; Metazoa; Chordata; Aves; Anseriformes; Anatidae
Source: RefSeq, a predicted model, not a curated record
GGAAUGGAGAUUGAUUUAAUGCACCAGCUCAACUCUGAUGAUCAAUUGAAAUCAAUUAAUUUGCAAUUAACUUUGAAGUUGUUUUUAGUACUUUGCUACUCUACCUUUUGUUUUAUUGGAAAAGCUACUGAUAUUUGAGGUCUGCCACAGUACAUGUUUUUGUUUUUAUCUGCCUACUGAUGCACAGAAAGUAAAUAUGUUUCUCAUUAGCCUGGAAAGAGGCCUGUAUGUACAUGGUGCUAUAUAAAGUGGCUACCUACAAGCAACCUAAAUGUUGUUCUUUGCAGAAGGUUAAUAAAAAUAACAGCUCUGUUAAAAAUAGGGACAAGGGACCUCCUAUGGACAGCAUCAGACCUUGGAUUGGGGAGGAGCAGAUCUAUACAAAUAUACUAGUAAGCCCCCGCCCCCCAUCCCAUUCCCCCAAUUUAACUCAAUCCCCAAGUGCCAUGUA